This 492-nucleotide ribosomal RNA is filed under the name uncultured bacterium. RNAcentral describes it as "partial 16S ribosomal RNA". It matches the Rfam family "Bacterial small subunit ribosomal RNA", at positions 29 to 507 of the family's 1533-position model. The record is from RNAcentral.
AGUGAACGCUGGCGGUAGGCCUAACACAUGCCAGUCGAACGGCAGCACAGUAAGAGCUUGCUCUUGCGGGUGGCGAGUGGCGGACGGGUGAGGAAUACAUCGGAAUCUACUUUUUCGUGGGGGAUAACGUAGGGAAACUUACGCUAAUACCGCAUACGACCUACGGGUGAAAGCAGGGGAUCUUCGGACCUUGCGCGAUUGAAUGAGCCGAUGUCGGAUUAGCUAGUUGGCGGGGUAAAGGCCCACCAAGGCGACGAUCCGUAGCUGGUCUGAGAGGAUGAUCAGCCACACUGGAACUGAGACACGGUCCAGACUCCUACGGGAGGCAGCAGUGGGGAAUAUUGGACAAUGGGCGCAAGCCUGAUCCAGCCAUACCGCGUGGGUGAAGAAGGCCUUCGGGUUGUAAAGCCCUUUUGUUGGGAAAGAAAAGCAGCAGGUUAAUACCCCGCUGUUCUGACGGUACCCAAAGAAUAAGCACCGGCUAACUUCGUG